AUGUGUGUCCCCAAAGAGAAGGGAGGCAUGGGAUUCAGAGACUUACAUUGUUUCAAUUUGGCACUACUGGCAACGCAAUGCUGGAGGUUGUUAUGUGAACCAGAGUCCUUAUGUGCUAGAGUGCUACGGGCCAAAUAUUUUCCCGGAGACCUUCUUAAUUGCAGCCUUAAGAAAGGGAGCUCAUAUACUUGGCAAAGCUUGUGGAGUGGCAUUCAAUCUUUCAAGAGAGGUCAUAUAUGGAGGGUGGGUGAUGGGUCCCAACACUACUAG
This 270-nucleotide ribosomal RNA is filed under the name Triticum aestivum (bread wheat). RNAcentral describes it as "partial small subunit ribosomal RNA". The record is from RNAcentral. Lineage: Eukaryota; Viridiplantae; Streptophyta; Magnoliopsida; Poales; Poaceae.